Molecule: unclassified non-coding RNA, 220 nt
Filed under: fungal sp.
Lineage: Eukaryota; Fungi
Description: partial internal transcribed spacer region
Rfam family: Eukaryotic small subunit ribosomal RNA (bases 1-46)
Source: RNAcentral
AAGUCGUAACAAGGUUUCCGUAGGUGAACCUGCGGAAGGAUCAUUAACACGUAUCCAAACGUAAAAAACCCCCCCGUGAACAUUCAAUCCUGCUCUUGUAACCCGCGUAGUUCGCAAUCUCUGGUAAAUCAUAGCCCGGAAAGUAGUUUUGAUUCAGAGACCUCUGUAAUACAUUGGGUAAAAAACCGAACAACUGUUAACAAUGGAUAUCUUGGUUCUC